RNAcentral lists this transfer RNA (93 nucleotides) under Streptomyces xantholiticus. Its description in RNAcentral is "tRNA-Arg". Lineage: Bacteria; Bacillati; Actinomycetota; Actinomycetes; Kitasatosporales; Streptomycetaceae. The record is from RNAcentral.
GGUGCGGUGGGCCCCGCCGGAGGUGUCGGACGCGUUCUGCGCGUCGCGGCUCGGUGGCGACCGGGGGUCGGCGUUCGGCACGCUGCCCCACAC